UUAGUGGAGAAGGGGUGAGUAAUAUAUAGGAAUGUGUUUUGUAGUGGGGGAUAAUUAGUAAAAAGAUUAGUUAAUAUUGUAUAUGUGGUGAGGGGGAAAGUAGGGGAUUUUUGGAUUUUAUGUUAUAAGAGGGGAUGAUAUUUGAUUAGUUAGUUGGUGGGGUAAUGGUUUAGGAAGGAGAUGAUUAGUAGGUGGUAUGAGAGGAAGAUUAGUUAUAGUGGAAAUGAGAGAUGGUAAAGACUCCUACGGGAGGCAGCAGUGGGGAAUUUUGGACAAUGGGCGCAAGCCUGAUCCAGCCAUUCCGCGUGAGUGAAGAAGGCCUUCGGGUUGUAAAGCUCUUUCGCAAGGGAAGAAAACUUACUUUCUAAUAAAGAGUGAGGCUGACGGUACCUUGAUAAGAAGCACCGGCUAACUACGUGCCAGCAGCCGCGGUAAUACGUAGGGUGCGAGCGUUAAUCGGAAUUACUGGGCGUAAAGCGUGCGCAGGCGGUUUGGCAAGUCAGAUGUGAAAUCCCCGAGCUCAACUUGGGAACUGCGUUUGAAACUGCCAGACUAGAAUAUGUCAGAGGGGGGUAGAAUUCCACGUGUAGCAGUGAAAUGCGUAGAGAUGUGGAGGAAUACCAAUGGCGAAGGCAGCCCCCUGGGAUAAUAUUGACGCUCAUGCACGAAAGCGUGGGGAGCAAACAGGAUUAGAUACCCUGGUAGUCCACGCCCUAAACGAUGUCUACUAGUUGUUGGUGGAGUAAAAUCCAUGAGUAACGCAGCUAACGCGUGAAGUAGACCGCCUGGGGAGUACGGUCGCAAGAUUAAAACUCAAAGGAAUUGACGGGGGCCCACACAAGCGGUGGAUUAUGUGGAUUAAUUCGAUGCAACGCGAAAAACCUUACCUGGCCUUGACAUGCCACUAACGAAGCAGAGAUGCAUUAGGUGCCCGAAAGGGAAAGUGGACACAGGUGCUGCAUGGCUGUCGUCAGCUCGUGUCGUGAGAUGUUGGGUUAAGUCCCACAACGAGCGCAACCCUUGCCAUUAAUUGCCAUCAUUUAGUUGGGCACUUUAAUGGGACUGCCGGUGACAAACCGGAGGAAGGUGGGGAUGACGUCAAGUCCUCAUGGCCCUUAUGGCCAGGGCUUCACACGUAAUACAAUGGUCGGUACAGAGAGUUGCCAAGCCGCGAGGUGGAGCUAAUCUCAGAAAGCCGAUCGUAGUCCGGAUUGUUCUCUGCAACUCGAGAGCAUGAAGUCGGAAUCGCUAGUAAUCGCGGAUCAGCAUGUCGCGGUGAAUACGUUCCCGGGCCUUGCACUCACCGCCCGUCA
Molecule: ribosomal RNA, 1313 nt
Filed under: uncultured bacterium
Lineage: Bacteria
Description: partial 16S ribosomal RNA
Rfam family: Bacterial small subunit ribosomal RNA
Source: RNAcentral